GGGGAUGAAAGGAUUUCGACGGGGGUUUUGAACCGCGAUAAGCGAGCAGCGGCGCGGACCCGCUAUAAAAGCCGCAGUUUAGAAAUAAACGACAGCAACACUGAACUGAAAGCUGCUUAAUUAAGCAGCCGUCCUUACCGGGAGUACCGCGGCCCGGAUAAGGGCGUCGAUGAGCGGUGAACGUGCGCGCGCGAGAGUGACGUACCGCGCCAUGAAUAACGACACUACCGUACCGUCAAGCCUGCCUGCGGGCGCGGCGGGAGGGGAAUCUUAAAUCACAGGCUGCGCUCGGAGAAGGUUGCGGGGAUGAGCUUUCGGACGCGGUUUCGAUUACCGCCAUCUCCACCA
This 348-nucleotide transfer-messenger RNA is filed under the name Firmicutes bacterium ADurb.Bin262. RNAcentral's name for it is "transfer-messenger RNA, SsrA". It matches the Rfam family "transfer-messenger RNA". From Rfam's summary of the family: Bacterial tmRNA, also known as 10Sa RNA or SsrA, is named for its dual tRNA and mRNA-like properties. Lineage: Bacteria; Bacillati; Bacillota. RNAcentral also lists the same sequence under 3 other names. The record is from RNAcentral.